CCUACGGGGUGCAGCAGUGGGGAAUAUUGCACAAUGAGGGAAACCCUGAUGCAGCGACGCCGCGUGAGUGAAGAAGUAAUUCGUUAUGUAAAGCUCUAUCAGCAGGGAAGAAAAUGACGGUACCUGAGUAAGAAGACCCGGCUAACUACGUGCCAGCAGCCGCGGGAAUACGUAGGGGGCAAGCGUUAUCCGGAUUUACUGGGUGUAAAGGGAGCGUAGACGGCAGUGCAAGACUGGAGUGAAAGGCGGGGGCUCAACCCCCGGACUGCUCUGGAAACUGGACGGCUGGAGUGCAGGAGAGGUAAGUGGAAUUCCUAGUGUAGCGGUGAAAUGCGUAGAUAUUAGGAGGAACACCAGUGGCGAAGGCGGCUUACUGGACUGUAACUGACGUUGAGGCUCGAAAGCGUGGGGAGCAAACAGGAUUAGAUACCCGGGUAGUC
This 440-nucleotide ribosomal RNA is filed under the name uncultured bacterium. RNAcentral describes it as "partial 16S ribosomal RNA". It matches the Rfam family "Bacterial small subunit ribosomal RNA", at positions 338 to 795 of the family's 1533-position model. The record is from RNAcentral.